RNAcentral lists this unclassified non-coding RNA (985 nucleotides) under Hevea brasiliensis (rubber tree). Lineage: Eukaryota; Viridiplantae; Streptophyta; Magnoliopsida; Malpighiales; Euphorbiaceae. The record is from RNAcentral.
UUCAUUAGAAAAUGAACCAAAUCAAUCGAUUUGUCUGGUUCAAAAGAAUUAAAUACAAAAUCUGCUAUAUGCUGAUGUAAAUAACAAUUCAAGGAGGAGCCGAUCAAGAAAAAAAGAGGAGGAAACAUUUCCCUUCUGACCGAUUCCUCCAACACAUUUGACUGUGAUACAAAUUGUGAGUGAAUACAGCUCCUUAGUUCGUCACAGUGCAAGCAGUUAACGAUGUGGAACCGAGUGACUGCAGCACCAUAGCUUCAAUUUAUCAAUGGCUUAGCCUUGCGAAUGUGGCCCAUACUAUUAACUAGAUCUUUGCGGAUGCAAACGGGGAACAUGUUGAUGCCUUUUAGCAAUUUCAACCGCCAAAGUACAUAUGGGAAACUCAACUGAUCGCGAGAAGUGAAUCGAACCACUUCAUUAAACCAGAGGCACACGAACAGAUUAGUUAAUGGUGUAUGCUCUCUCACAAUGACUGAAGCUUCAUUUAAAGCUGCAAUGAUUAAUAUUUUGUUGAUAACCAGAUCGAUAAUAACCCACCAUAAUUUUCUAUGCUUCUAUGAUACUAGUGAAUUCUGCCAAAGUAAAUGUGGUUCCAAGCUUUUACACUGUAGAUCUCAUCUCAUUUCUUAAUGGGAUUUUCCUUUCAGAAAGCUGAGACUUUCUCAAAGUCUAAUCUCUCCUAUUAGCACAAAUUUUCAGUCAAUAAACAGCUGUGCCUAAAUAUGUACAAGGAACACGCUACCAACAUUAGACCAUAAAGAUGGCCACAAUGUGCUUUUGUUUUAAUGCCAUGGUUGCACAUGAUAAUAUCGAAAGAAAAAACAAUUUACCCUUCUUUCCAUUAAAUCUCUUGUCUUCAGGCAAGCCAUCUUGUCGAUAUCUAGUCAACUGCACCUCAACAUCUUCUGGUGUGGCUUUGUGUUUAUUUACAACAGCUGUAGCCUCCUCGUACACAUUGCUGCGUGCUCCAUGUUGUGAAAUUGCUAAU